Molecule: long non-coding RNA, 1380 nt
Filed under: Homo sapiens (human)
Lineage: Eukaryota; Metazoa; Chordata; Mammalia; Primates; Hominidae
Description: HSALNT0386192
Source: RNAcentral
CGAUGAUGAUAUCACUGAGUGCUGGAAAAGGUUUCUGCCACUACCUUCCUAGACUCAUCUAAGUGGAUGGACUCCAGGGGAUGGAGAAUGGAAGGCAGCAGAUGUUUGUUGACUUCUUGCUCUAUAUCGGGCACUGUGCUAGAUACCAUACACGCCAUCAACAUUUAGGACAGUAUGACAAAGGAGAAUGAAAGCUGUCUCUUGUAGAUAGGAUAUUUUCAGCCGUCAUCACCAUGGACUCUUUGAAAUGUACUACUUCAGAAAAGCCACAGUGACUCCCUCUGGGCCUCACCCACCUGAGAUGACAUCACGACGCAAAUCUAGGACUUACGCUCUUCAUACGGAUGGAAUGGUUGGUUCACUUGGCUUUCAGAGUGCAGACAAGCCAUUCAGUGGAGGGCAUGCCUCAGCCUGCACUCUUCUGACUCAUGACAUGACUUCUCCAUGGAGAGCCAGGAUUUUUCUCAAGUGUAACAAUAUUAAUUAUCAAGUCACUUUAAAACAUGUGUGAUUGGUUGCAGUACAUUGAUUCUGAAGAUGGCCCAGAUCUUCACUCAUAUCCUGAUGUCCUUUAGCGUGUCACUUUGCAGCUCCUCCCAUGAAACGAUCAAGUCUAUUUCCCUACACCUUAAAAGUGGGUUGGACUUAUCUUUAUUUAUUCCUGGAGAGGACACUCUUGGUGCCCCACCCAUCCUCCCUCCUCCUUGCUACUUUAGCCUACCUGAAUUCCAAAUGUACCUGUGUUUCUUUGCCUGAGAACUCACUCUGAUUGCCAAAGCCUGAUUUGUCUGCUCUGAUGGCUUAAAAAUAGAUUCACACAUUUUUUAAUACUCCUCCCUCCCCUUUUCUUGAACGUGGGCCAAACUUUAUGACUUGACUCGCUUCUAUCAAAUAGAAUGUGGUGGAAAUGACAGUGUGACUUUCAAGACUAGGCCAUAAAAGGCCCUGUGGUCUCAUGGUCUCUCUUGGAUCACUCAUUUUGGGGUCAGCAUAUGCCUUGUUGUGGGGACACUCAAGCAGUCAAAUGGAGAAGUUGAUAUGGUGAGGAACUGAGGCCUCCAACCAACAGCCAGCACUGACCAGCCAGCUGUGCAAGUGAACCACCCUAGAAGCAGGUCCUCCAGCCUCAGUCAAACCUUCAGAUUACUAAAUCCCUGCCCAUUUCUUAAAUGCAACCUCAUGAGGAACCUCAAGCCAGAACUCACCAGCUAAGCUAUUCCAAAUUUCUUCACCCUUGCAAACUGUAUGAAAUAAUAAAUAUUUAUUGUCAUAUUAAGCCACUAAAUUUUGGGAUAGUAUGUUACACAUUGGUAUAUAACUAAACCCAUCUACAUGACAGGUUGGAAAUGUUGGUGGGUUACCCACUGGAAGCACCUUCCA